This 424-nucleotide ribosomal RNA is filed under the name uncultured bacterium. Its description in RNAcentral is "bacterial SSU rRNA". It matches the Rfam family "Bacterial small subunit ribosomal RNA", at positions 356 to 773 of the family's 1533-position model. The record is from RNAcentral.
GGGGAAUCUUGCGCAAUGGGCGAAAGCCUGACGCAGCGACGCCGCGUGAGUGAUGAAGGCCUUCGGGUUGUAAAGCUCUGUGGAGAGGGACGAAUAAGUGUGGUCGAAUAGGCCGCAUGAUGACGGUACCUCUUUAGCAAGCACCGGCUAACUCUGUGCCAGCAGCCGCGGUAAGACAGAGGGUGCAAACGUUGUUCGGAAUUACUGGGCGUAAAGCGCGUGUAGGCUGCUUGGAAAGUCGGAUGUGAAAGCCCUGGGCUCAACCUAGGAAGUGCAUUCGAAACUUCCAAGCUCGAGUUUCGGAGAGGAAGGCGGAAUUCUCGGUGUAGAGGUGAAAUUCGUAGAUAUCGAGAGGAACAUCGGUGGCGAAGGCGGCCUUCUGGACGAUGACUGACGCUGAGACGCGAAAGCGUGGGGAGCAAAC